RNAcentral lists this ribosomal RNA (505 nucleotides) under uncultured bacterium. RNAcentral's name for it is "bacterial SSU rRNA". It matches the Rfam family "Bacterial small subunit ribosomal RNA", at positions 29 to 526 of the family's 1533-position model. The record is from RNAcentral.
AUUGAACGCUGGCGGCAUGCUUUACACAUGCAAGUCGAACGGUAACAGGGAGCUUGCUCCGCUGACGAGUGGCGAACGGGUGAGUAAUGCAUCGGAACGUACCCAGUCGUGGGGGAUAACGUAGCGAAAGUUACGCUAAUACCGCAUACGUCCUGAGGGAGAAAGCGGGGGACCGAAAGGCCUCGCGCGAUUGGAGCGGCCGAUGUCGGAUUAGCUAGUUGGUAGGGUAAAGGCCUACCAAGGCGACGAUCCGUAGCGGGUCUGAGAGGAUGAUCCGCCACACUGGGACUGAGACACGGCCCAGACUCCUACGGGAGGCAGCAGUGGGGGAAUUUUGGACAAUGGGCGCAAGCCUGAUCCAGCCAUGCCGCGUGAGUGAAGAAGGCCUUCGGGUUGUAAAGCUCUUUCAGGUGGAAAGAAAACGACAUGGGUCAAUACCCUGUGUGGAUGACGGUACCAUCAGAAGAAGCACCGGCUAACUACGUGCCAGCAGCCGCGGUAAAAC